UACGGAGGAUCCAAGCGUUAUCCGGAUUUAUUGGGUUUAAAGGGUGCGUAGGUGGCCUAUUAAGUCAGGGGUGAAAGACGGUAGCUUAACUAUCGCAGUGCCUUUGAUACUGAUGGGCUUGAGGCAAGGAGAGGGGUGUGGAAUUCCCGGUGUAGUGGUGGAAUGCGUAGAGAUCGGGAGGAACAUCAGUGGCGCAAGCGGCACCCUGGCCUUGGCCUGACGCUCAGGGGCGAAAGCGUGGGGAGCGAACGGG
Molecule: ribosomal RNA, 253 nt
Filed under: uncultured bacterium
Lineage: Bacteria
Description: partial 16S ribosomal RNA
Rfam family: Bacterial small subunit ribosomal RNA
Source: RNAcentral